AUGGGGUUGGGAGCACAAGCGGAGGUGCUGGACCCGUCUCUUUGCAUAGCGGCGCUAAUCUGCUGGUCCUUGAAGGUGUUGCAUAAAAAUGAGGUGGUGAAUGAGGAGCUCUGGAACGAAGCACGGACAUAUGGAGACAUCCAAUUGAUGCCAUUUGUUGAUUAUUACAGCUUGAUUCUUUGGAAGACCAUCUACUUUUCGAUAAACGUGCUUUCAGCCAAGUAUGUUAUGAAAACCGAUGAUGAUGCUUUUGUUCGUGUAGAUGAGAUACUUUUGUCCCUACAUCAAUCGGCGGACGAGGAUGUGGAGACGAGGAACCCGAGGACGGUGGUGGCGGUCAUCCUCGGCGGCGGCGCCGGGACCAGGCUCUUCCCUCUCACCAAGCGCAGGGCCAAGCCGACCGUGCCGAUAGGCGGCGCGUACAGGCUCAUCGACGUGCCCAUGAGCAAAUGCAUCAACAGCGGGAUCAACAAGGUGUACGUCCUCAUCCAGUUCAACUCCGCCUCCCUCAACCGCCACCUCUCCAGGGCCUACAAAUUCAGCAAUGGCGUCGGCUUCGGAGACGGUUUCGUCGAGGUUCUAGCAGCAACUCAGAGGCCUGGGAUCGGAGGGACAGAGGUGGUUUCAGGGUACCGCCGACGUGGUUCGGCAAUUCGCUUGGCUUUUCAAUGAUGCCAAAUCUAAAGACAUAGAAGAUGUGCUUAUUCUUUCGGGAGAUCACCUCUACCGUAUGGACUACAUGGACUGUGUUCAGAGUCAUCGACAGAGAGACGCAGGCAUCAGCAUAUGUUGCUUGCCAAUUAAUGACAGUCGGGCGUCUGAUUUUGGUCUAAUGAAGAUAGACGACACAGGAAGAGUUCUUUCAUUUAGUGAAAAAAACGAGAGGAGCUGACUUGUAAGCAAUGCAAGUUGACACCACUCUCCUCGGCUUAACGAAGGAGGAAGCAGAAAAGAAACCAUACAUAGCUUCAAUGGGGGUAUACAUAUUCAAGAAAGAGAUACUUCUAAAUCUUUUGAGAUGGCGUUUUCCCUCUGCAAAUGAUUUUGGCUCUGAAAUAAUUCCUGCUGCAGCAAGAGAGAUUAAUGUAAAGGCUAUUUGGAAUGGUUGCAGGUUUUAAUCAAGAGGUCCUCAAUAGGUAGACUGUCUCAAAAUGGAGAAGCAUGCUGGUAGCUUUUCGGUUGGAUGUCAAUGUUUGAAUGUAUGUCCAAUUACGGGUUCUCUCCGGUUGGUGAUCGAAUAGAUUUCUUUCUGAGUCUUAUGUCCAAAUACUUUUGAGUCCAUACACCAAAUAUGAAAUUAAAUAAUUAUUAUAAAAAUAAAAAUAAAUGGCAAUAAAAAUUAAAACAAUAAAUGUUAUCAAAUAUUUAUAUAUCCAGCUGGCACAAGAGAGGUAGGAGUAGCACGUUCUAGAAGAUGUGUUUUGAUGUAGUAGUUUAUAAAUGUAAUAGUGUGCCACCCAAUUGCAUAUUGGAGUGAAGUUUCUCUAACAUCUUGGAACAUUUUUUUAAAGGAAAAAAUCAUCAAUGUGUUGUUUUUAA
Molecule: RNA transcript, 1539 nt
Organism: Hordeum vulgare subsp. vulgare (domesticated barley)
Lineage: Eukaryota; Viridiplantae; Streptophyta; Magnoliopsida; Poales; Poaceae
Gene name: glucose-1-phosphate adenylyltransferase large subunit 1, chloroplastic/amyloplastic-like
Exons: 12
Source: RefSeq, a predicted model, not a curated record